GGGGAUGACUGGUUUCGACGGGAAAGUAAGGCUCUGGAUGGCAAGCCGAGCAUCGUUUUUCAUCUCGUAAAACUGCGGAACGAACCAAUAAGUGCCAAUCGCACAACUGCAUACAGCGCUAUGCCCCUCGCCGCCUAAUAACGGCUAAAGCGGAAACGCUGUUCGAGGCCCCAGAGGUCUCGCGCACCCCCUAGAUUCUCAUUGGUGGUCUAUUGUGGUGUGUCACUCUAGUCAAUGUGCCGCACGAAAAUACCGAUAGUAGUGCCUAAGACCUCCUCGGUUCGCCCUAAUCUGACCCCGUUGACUGGGGCGCAUGUGGGCUAAAUCUCAAAUGAGUCAACUAAGCUUGUAGAUGUCUGGCAGGUGAGCUUUUUCGGACGCGGGUUCGACUCCCGCCAUCUCCACUC
RNAcentral lists this transfer-messenger RNA (407 nucleotides) under Anaerolineae. RNAcentral's name for it is "JADJSZ01 sp016711405 Standard tmRNA". It matches the Rfam family "transfer-messenger RNA". From Rfam's summary of the family: Bacterial tmRNA, also known as 10Sa RNA or SsrA, is named for its dual tRNA and mRNA-like properties. The record is from RNAcentral. RNAcentral also lists the same sequence under 2 other names. Lineage: Bacteria; Bacillati; Chloroflexota.